GGGGAAUAUUGCACAAUGGGCGAAAGCCUGAUGCAGCAACGCCGCGUGAGUGAUGAAGGUCUUCGGAUUGUAAAGCUCUGUCUUUUGGGACGAUAAUGACGGUACCAAAGGAGGAAGCCACGGCUAACUACGUGCCAGCAGCCGCGGUAAUACGUAGGUGGCGAGCGUUGUCCGGAUUUACUGGGCGUAAAGGGUGCGUAGGCGGAUGUUUAAGUGAGAUGUGAAAUACCCGGGCUUAACUUGGGUGCUGCACUUCAAACUGGAUAUCUAGAGUGCAGGAGAGGAGAAUGGAAUUCCUAGUGUAGCGGUGAAAUGCGUAGAGAUUAGGAAGAACACCAGUGGCGAAGGCGAUUCUCUGGACUGUAACUGACGCUGAGGCACGAAAGCGUGGGUAGCAAACAGGAUUAGAUACCCUGGUAGUCCACGCCGUAAACGAUGAGUACUAGGUGUAGGAGGUAUCGACCCCUUCUGUGCCGCAGUAAACACAUUCAAGUACUCCGCCUGGGAAGUACGAUCGCAAGAUUAAAACUCUAAAGUGAAUUGACGGGGUC
Molecule: ribosomal RNA, 551 nt
Filed under: uncultured bacterium
Lineage: Bacteria
Description: partial 16S ribosomal RNA
Rfam family: Bacterial small subunit ribosomal RNA
Source: RNAcentral